RNAcentral lists this ribosomal RNA (1140 nucleotides) under metagenome. Its description in RNAcentral is "bacterial LSU rRNA". It matches the Rfam family "Bacterial large subunit ribosomal RNA", at positions 871 to 1976 of the family's 2925-position model. The record is from RNAcentral.
UAGGUAUAGCGUCUAGUUGUAGCUAUAGGGGGUAGAGCACUGAUUGGGCUAGGGCUACUUACCGUGGUACCAAACCCAGUCAAACUCCGAAUACCUAUAGUGUAAUCUAGGCAGUCAGGCGUAGGGUGAUAAAAUCCUAUGUCAAGAGGGAAACAGCCCAGACUACCAGCUAAGGUCCCAAAGUUUUAUCUAAGUGGAAAAGGAUGUGGGGUUGCUUAGACAAUCAGGAGGUUGGCUUAGAAGCAGCCAUCCUUUAAAGAAAGCGUAACAGCUCACUGAUCUAGCGACCUUGCGCCGAAAAUAUAACGGGGCUAAGAUAAACACCGAAGCUGUAGAUUUGAUAUUUAUAUCAAGUGGUAGGAGAGCGUUCUAGUCAGCGUAGAAGAUGUACCGGUGAGGAGCGUUGGAGCGGCUAGAAGUGAGCAUGCAGGCAUGAGUAACGAUAAAAGAGGUGAGAAUCCUCUUCGCCGAAAAUCUAAGGUUUCCUACGCGAUGCUCGUCAUCGUAGGGUUAGUCGGGACCUAAGUUAAGUCCGAAAGGGGUAGACGAUGGAAAAUAGGUUAAUAUUCCUAUACUAACUUAUAAUUGUUUGAUUGAUGUGGGGACGCAUAGAGUUAAAGGAGCUUACUGAUGGAAUAGUAAGUCGAAAGAUGUAGGUUGUAAAGUAGGCAAAUCCGCUUUACACAAGACCGAGAUCCUAUAGGCAAAUAAAGUUCUUCGGAACGGAGUUUGAAUCCUUGAUACUGUCGUGCCAAGAAAAGCCACUAAAAGAGAUUAUAUGUUACCCGUACCGCAAACCGACACAGGUAGAUGAGAUGAGUAUUCUAAGGCGCGUGGAAGAACCCUGGUUAAGGAACUCUGCAAAAUAGCACCGUAUCUUCGGUAUAAGGUGUGCCCAUAGUAUGUGAUGUGAUUUACUCACGGAGCAGAAAAGGGCGGCAGCAAAGAGUCCCUCCCGACUGUUUACCAAAAACACAGCACUCUGCUAACUCGUAAGAGGAUGUAUAGGGUGUGACGCCUGCCCGGUGCUCGAAGGUUAAUUGAUGGGGUUAGCAAUUUAUUGCGAAGCUCUUGAUCGAAGCCCGAGUAAACGGCGGCCGUAACUAUAACGGUCCUAAGGUAGCGAAAUUCCUUGUCGGU